UCCUUUAUUGAGGCAAUCUUUUUCUGAAGAGCCGGUCUUUAAAAAAUUUCGAUCUAGCCUUGACAUUAUAAGUCCGUUCAACUUCCAAGCUGAUAGCAAUUCUUCAAGCAGAAAAUGUUCUACUUCAAAAAAGUCAGUAAACCUUGAACAUAUUUGUUUCCCAAUUGAUGAAAAUGCAUGCACAACCGGGGAAGAUGUACUAGUUGAACCCGGAAAAAAUGCUGAAGAAGGUGAACGGGAGAAGACUUCCAAAGAAAAGGAUAUUAUAAGUCCGUUCAACUUCCAAGCUGAUAGCAAUUCUUCAAGCAGAAAAUGUUCUACUUCAAAAAAGUCAGUAAACCUUGAACAUAUUUGUUUCCCAAUUGAUGAAAAUGCAUGCACAACCGGGGAAGGUGUACUAGUUGAACCCGGAAAAAAUGCUGAAGAAGGUGAACGGGAAAAGACUUCCAAAGAAAAGGAUAUUAUUUUAAAUAAAUUGGAAAAAGC
This 486-nucleotide long non-coding RNA is filed under the name Zostera marina. RNAcentral describes it as "long non-coding RNA (ZMAR_LNC000248)". The record is from RNAcentral. Lineage: Eukaryota; Viridiplantae; Streptophyta; Magnoliopsida; Alismatales; Zosteraceae.